CUAGUCUGAGACAAAACCAAGGUGGACCGAAAAAUAUUGCUCGGUCGCUGCUAACAUAAGUAUCUCUACUAUGGCUGAGUAAUAGGUAGACAGAGAUGUUGUCGCCUGAUUAAAAGUCCAGCAGUAGGGAGGAAAAGGAUGCAAUCUCUCUCUGAGCAGAUUUUCGCAGCCCUGCUCAAAUGUGACUUUUGAGAGAUAAACCUUUUGCGACUUAUUUCUAAACUAUUUUGAGUCCUAGGAAGAGAAGCAACAGCAGCAGGAGCAGAAGACUCGAAUAGAUUCCAAUUCUCAAAGUUCAAGAGGUCUCUUCAAAUGUAAAACGUCUGUUUGGGAAGAUAAAUUGUUCAUUGUCACCCAGAAAUCUGCGCCAUCACGAGUGCAGAACUACCAGAAUAGAUGCCUAAACUGCUCUGCACAACCCAAAACCACACAAUGCCCAGGACCAGGAAAAGCAACAAUACUUUUUAUUGUGCUCUCUAAAAGUCUAGAAAAAAUACUUUCUCAGCAAGAAAAGGAUUACACGUUGCCAUUUAUUCGUUCGUAUUUCCAAAGCUUAAACUCUCCGUACUUGCCCAAAGUGCACUCUACAUUCCUGCACGGUUUGACUUAGAAAGGGUGGAUAAAACCCUAAUGAAUUCUUGUCCUCCCUUUUAAACUACGCAAUAAACGGGCAAAACACACAUUAUAGAUGACUUUGGCUCUGAAUAGGAGCUGGAUUUUCUGCCGAUCACACAAGCUUUCCAAAACCUGAGAUGACGAAGCGAAAGUUGCAAACUCAUUCCACUUUGCCUGGUCAUUACUGGUACAUUUUUGGCAAGGGUGACAAAAAUAAUGAUCAUCAAAAGAAGAAGACGAAGAAAACUUGAUACAUUAUGAAAUGAUGGCAAAGUCGACCAUUAACUAACAAUGUUCACAACUCUCGCAAUCUUUGAUAAAUAAAUGAUAAUCAAAAACAAAACUUAUUGCCUUUCAGACCAUAUCUCAUUUAUUUCGCAGCUUUUCUACCGUCAUGGAAGUUGGAUUGGGACUUUGAGAAAUCUAAAACAAGGUUGACUCUUGGGGAUGGAUCACUCAUGGACGAGACGAGAAAUUCAGAAAGAGAGAGACAAACUACAUCUUUGUGAUUCAAUGAAUUAAUGUUGAAAGUCCAAUCCAAUCCAUGCGAAAUCCGUCUCUCGUCCUUCACCAUUCUUUCUAUUUGGACGAAAAAAGGACGUUUGUCCAUCUCAGGGAUCAAGUUCAUCCGGACUCGUCCAUCCAGUCUGAUGCCACCAACUCACUUUUGGAGCAGAAGAUCAAUUCGACGACUUAUUUCAACGCCCCCUUCUUUCGACGACGAGCUCACCUGAACCAACCAGUCCCAUUAUAUUCAUAUUCCUGCGUUCGGAACGUGUAAUCUGUUUGAACGUCAACAUCCCUGGUCUACUUAUGCUAUUACGUACCGUCGCUCGUGGCGUCACACAGGAGAAAGAUUUCUUGGUACAAAUGAUAAUGUAUUAUAAAGAAUCACGAGUGGAUGACGCCCAGAUUUGCAAGAGGAAACCCUCUCUCGCGCGUGAAGGGCCACUUGGCGAUUACUAGUUUGGAGUUGAAGGAUAAAAUGAAGUGGAAAUCUAUGAUAUAAAACUAGCAAAAUUAAAAAAGUUCCAAAAAAGA
Long non-coding RNA from Folsomia candida, 1656 nucleotides. RefSeq lists it as uncharacterized. Lineage: Eukaryota; Metazoa; Arthropoda; Collembola; Entomobryomorpha; Isotomidae. The record is from RefSeq and is a predicted model, not a curated record. The transcript is spliced from 6 exons.